UGAUUUAAUCUGAUAAUUUGAUGCUUACGUUUUUUCCUGGUUUAGCAUAUAGUGAUUGCAAUGCUGAAUGUAAUCAAUUGCAAGUGAUCGAGAAGUAUCUGUUGCUGAUUGAUUUAGUGUGGAGAAGAAAUCUCAGUUCUGAUUGUAACGAUGAAGCUUCUUCUGAUGGUGGUCUAGCUCGAACAAGUUAUGUUCCGCCACAUUUUAGGAAUAGGCCUUCGUUCUGCCCCGUUGUUGCUGCUGCUGGUGCUCGGAAUAACUGAGGGAUUGGUUGGGAUCGUGGAGGGAAAGGGAGGCUAAUCCUUUUCACGAUAACUUAUGAUGCUUAUGAUGAUAGUCCGGUUGAAACGAGAGGUAUGCUAUAAUAGAUAUCACUUUGUGCUCGGGGAUCUAAUGGCGUGUGUGGUGUGUCCAGACUGGUCUUGCAGGUUAUGGAGAAGCUAGGAAGUUUUUCUACCAAACUGGUGUCGGGGUUGUGGUGCGCCCAUAAACACGCAGUUUCCGUUGUUUGUUGAAACUUGAGUGUGCAUCUUCCGUAACUUGGUUUAUCAGAAGCAUUGGAUAUAAGUUAUUAGCUCCAUUUGAAUGAGUUUUUGUUAUCAAUAGCAUUUUCAUGUUUGUAAGCUUGCCGCCUUCUUUAUUAUGCCAUAUUGGUGGUGACAGUUUAAUUCGCAAAGAUACCUUGUCGUGUUGUAUCUUAUAAUCAGUGAAUUACAGAAGCUACAUUCCGUGGUAUCUGUAAUCAAAUGGUGAUGCAUCUUCCAUACUCAGAGCUGAUAUCAUGUUUCUGCUGCAACGUUAUGUGUAUAAAUAUGUCAAGAAACAAAAAUGGCUGACAGCUCAUCUUAUCUGAUUCUCCCAACACUUUCAUGCUGCUUCAUUAGUAAAUUUAACAUGAAUUUUUAUAUGGAUUAGCUAGAGGUGAAUAUUCGGAUUGUAAACAACUGUAGAACCAGUAGAAGGGAUGAUGAAGCUGGAAUUUGAAUAAAUAUCAUUUUCCUAACAUUCCUCAACUAUUGUUGUUUCCCUUGGUUGUUAUUGCAUAAGUCUUUCCAAAAUAUUUAGCUUUGCCUUAUGAGUUAUGACUGAAUGUAAUGAUUGGUUGUUCUGGACAGCUCCGUGAACUUGGAAGAGGUGUCAACAUACUAGUUGCAACUCCUGGACGGUUGGCCGUGGAUUUGUUGGAAAGGGAAAGAGUCUCUUUGCAAAUGGUAAGGUAUUUAGCACUAGACGAGGCAUAUAGAAUGUUGGACAUGGAUUUGGAUUUUGAACCUCAAAUGAGGAGAAUUGUGCAAUAAAUGGACAUGACAUCUGCUGUUUGUAAGACAAACAAUGCUGUUUAGUGAAACUUUCCCUAAGGA
Molecule: non-coding RNA, 1361 nt
Organism: Salvia hispanica
Lineage: Eukaryota; Viridiplantae; Streptophyta; Magnoliopsida; Lamiales; Lamiaceae
Source: RefSeq, a predicted model, not a curated record